Molecule: long non-coding RNA, 378 nt
Filed under: Oreochromis niloticus (Nile tilapia)
Lineage: Eukaryota; Metazoa; Chordata; Actinopteri; Cichliformes; Cichlidae
Description: lncRNA (ENSONIG00000042841.1)
Source: RNAcentral
AUGGGAAACAUUAAAGUUGGACUGACACCAGCUAAUCAGUCUGAAGAACAAGAAGGGAGACCACUGAGGAGAAGUUCUAUGAGUUCACGGGUGACCUCAGCUGUCAAGUUCCUGGAUGUGGAUGGCAACAGACCAGAGAACCUGAAUGACACCAUUACUCUGGAGCCUUGCCCUGCUGCAUCAGCUGAAACAUCAAGCCAUCCACGUCCACCCCUCCUCCUCCACGUCCACCACUAUGUACAACCAUUACUCCAGCUCUUGGGUCUCACACUUACAGAUUCCUUGGGAAAGAUUUCCACUCCGAUUGUCGCAUGCAAUCACAGGAGGGGACAGACCUCAUCCAGAGGACAGGAGAAGUCAGCUAAUAGUGAUAGAUGA